AAAUUGAUGAUCUGAUCGGGGUCAUGUUAAAUUGAUGAUCUGAUCGGGGUCAUGUUAAAUUGAUGAUCUGAUCGGGGUCAUGUUAAAUUGAUGAUCUGAUCGGGGUCAUGUUAAAUUGAUGAUUGAACUAUUUCUCUCUCUUUUCGCUCUUUUCUCUCCUAGCACCUUCAACACUUUAGCUAUUUUAACACUGUAAUAUUUCAGUUGUAUAAACAUUAGUUGACAGACAUCAGGUCAGAUUUGAUCACUAUGAAUGUUUUCUGACAUCUUACUGCCCCCGUGUUAAACAGCUGUAGCAUGAGUGACAUUUCAAGCAGGAAAACACACACCAAACACUGCCUGCCUGCGACCGCCAAGCAAGGUGAACUGAACUUAAUCAUAGCCCGAGGGCCUGUAGGUCUGAAAACAGGCUGUAGUCCUGUGAAAGUAUCAUUAAUUAACGCGGAAGCUUGUGCCUCCUCGCUCCUGAAUGGGAAAUGAGUCUUCUUCCAAUCUAAAACACACACACACACGCCUCACACUGAAAACUAGACACUGUGUUCAAUUAUGAUAACAUUCACAAUGAAUGAAUGAGGAGACCGCAAGCUCAGGAAAUAAUUUUCUGUGCUGAGAUAAUGCCAUUUAUAAUUGCUUUAUACAGAGACUUGAAUUUUAAAUAUUCAUCAGGACUUUAACUUGAUAAGUGUUCUAUUGGGUUUUUUGUAGCCCUCUCUCUCCCUCUCCCUCUUGCUCUCUCUCUCUCCCUCCCUCUUACUCUCUCUCUCUCUCUCUCUCUCUCACACACACACAACUUUUUUAAAUUUUAAAUCAGUCCUGUUUAUCAAAUGGUCAUGCUUUUUGUUGGCUUAUCAACAUUUGACAGUACGUCAUACUGUAUGUGUGUGAUUUCUCAAUCAAUAAUAGGCCUACUGUACAAAGAAAGGCUCUCUAUUCAGUCGCUCUAGUCAACGGUGGUGUGUUUAGAGCCCUCUGUGCCUCACUGUAUGGGAUAGAAGGCACGGCAAAGCCUCCAUGACCUUGACUCACCCUAAGUAUUUGUCCAACCAGCAUUCGGAGAGAGGAUCUCGUAUUGACUGAAAGGACACAACAUUCAAAUGAAAAUAAAAUGACUUGAGAAUUUCCCUUUUGUAAGAGCGUGUAAGCAGACAUCGUUCUUUCUAAGAGAGCCGUCACCGCUGGGCUACAGUAAUAGUAAUCCUCUUGUGAAUAAACCUUCACUGUAUACUGUGGUGUGCUUUGCUCAGUUU
Long non-coding RNA from Oncorhynchus tshawytscha (Chinook salmon), 1247 nucleotides. The record is from Ensembl. Lineage: Eukaryota; Metazoa; Chordata; Actinopteri; Salmoniformes; Salmonidae.